This is a non-coding RNA of Pelobates cultripes (western spadefoot toad), 625 nucleotides long. The record is from the annotation of a GenBank genome assembly. Lineage: Eukaryota; Metazoa; Chordata; Amphibia; Anura; Pelobatidae.
GGUAAAUGUAAGCUUACCGUAAGGGCGUCUGGGUUCCCUCUGGAGCGCCAUGGCCUCCCACGAGAGGGGAAGAAAGGGGACUGUUGUCUCGUCUCCUGGUAGGAUGGUCUCUGGUUGAAGAAGUCUCAUCCCGAUCCACGGGCGUGGUAAUUAGACCGGCCGGACAGACGGCCCCUGAAUCUGCCGGCCCUUGUAGAGACUCGUCCCUGAAAUACCCUCUUCAUAGAGGAUUGAGCCUUGUCCAGGGCUGUAAAAGCACCCCAGAUCCUUUAUAAAGGAUUCUCCAAACAACAUGCCCUGGGCUUCUUUGCCCUCCUCAGUGAGAGCGAGGUUAGCCAAUUUGGGCUCAAUUUUAAAGAGAAUGGCUUUAUGCCACUCAAUAGACAGGGAGGUGUUCACACUGCCUGCUAUGCAGAUCGCCCUCUGCACCCAACCACAGAGUUCUUCUGGGUCAACCUGCCUGUUUUUGGCUCUGGCUAGUUCAGCCAGGUCAAAUAAUUUGGCCAAAGGACCAAAAAUGUCCAGGUGUUUGUCCUGGCAUGAUUUUAAAGCGGAAUCCAAUCCCUUGCGGGGAUUCCAUCCCAUUUUUGAAAGAAAUUGGGACAUUUUGGGGUCAACAAUAGGG